Long non-coding RNA from Thamnophis elegans (Western terrestrial garter snake), 962 nucleotides. RefSeq lists it as uncharacterized. The record is from RefSeq and is a predicted model, not a curated record. Lineage: Eukaryota; Metazoa; Chordata; Lepidosauria; Squamata; Natricidae. The transcript has 2 exons.
UGGAAACACCGCAACCCUCCCCCCCCGUCCUUCCUUUCUCUCCUCCCUCCUCUUCUUCCCCCGUUAACCUCACGCAGGGCCCCAUCCUGUCGCGGCUUCUGAGGCGGAGGAGUCGUUGGAAGCGCGUGUCCUGCAUACGCGGAUCUGAAAGGGGAGAGGAGUAACUCACCCCCUCGCCUACAUAACUCCCCUCGCUACAAAGCCCCUCAAGGUGUGGGAGAGGAAGGGAUGCGCAAAGGAAUCAAACGCAGCCGCCGUGUGCUGGGCGAGGCGAGGGCAGGUUCGGUCGGGCAGCCUUCUUACUUAGGCAAGGGGGAAAAAAACCCCUCUCAUACUAAGUCUGUUCAACUUGGCAGAGGCAACUUCAGAGAAAUCGUGUACAAACGGUACCUUGCUGGGAAGCACACCAAGACUUUGCAAGUGCUGAAGCUGGACGAAUGACUCCGAGGCCAGUCAGAACCAUUAUGUAAAUACUGAACAGAUGUGGGAGGAAAAAGUAUAAUAUUUAAACCCUGAAACAGAUUAUGUAGAUACUGAUUUCCAUACUUUGCAUUUGGCAGAUCUUAUGCCUGUGUAUAAAUUAUUUUCUGCCCCAAAGUGUAAUUUAUUCAGUCAUGUCCUGAUUGUGACUCUUUUAUUAAGGGUAAAUUUUGUUACAAUUUAGUGCACCUAGAGAGUUGAAAUGUACUGCUGCGCUUGGUGUGAAGCCUGACACCAUACAUGCUGCCAUAACACUUAUAGUGCCUCAUUUGGAAGCUAAUCUCUGGUGCAGCUCCAGAAGUAUUGACCCAACUGAUUCAUCCUUAGGCUUUCUCAAAAUGAUAACUCAGGUUAGCCAUGCUGGAAGUAUGGCAUCUGGCAUUAUAGAACUUCAAUCUACUUUGAUCUACAGUAGCUCUCCCCGGUGUUCAGUCCAUCAAAAUAAUGCAUUAAGCUGAGCAGACCUCCUGAAGAUAGGCAUG